UACUUGCUAAAUUAGAACCACCGAAA
RNAcentral lists this small RNA (26 nucleotides) under Bombyx mori (domestic silkworm). RNAcentral's name for it is "ovarian small RNA-21662". The record is from RNAcentral. Lineage: Eukaryota; Metazoa; Arthropoda; Insecta; Lepidoptera; Bombycidae.